This 501-nucleotide ribosomal RNA is filed under the name uncultured bacterium. RNAcentral's name for it is "partial 16S ribosomal RNA". It matches the Rfam family "Bacterial small subunit ribosomal RNA", at positions 30 to 523 of the family's 1533-position model. The record is from RNAcentral.
AUUGAACGCUGGCGGCAGGCUUAACACAUGCAAGUCGAGCGGGGGAAGGUAGCUUGCUACCGGACCUAGCGGCGGACGGGUGAGUAAUGCUUAGGAAUCUGCCUAUUAGUGGGGGACAACAUCUCGAAAGGGAUGCUAAUACCGCAUACGUCCUAUGGGAGAAAGCAGGGGAUCUUCGGACCUUGCGCUAAUAGAUGAGCCUAAGUCGGAUUAGCUAGUUGGUGGGGUAAAGGCCUACCAAGGCGACGAUCUGUAGCGGGUCUGAGAGGAUGAUCCGCCACACUGGGACUGGAACACGGCCCAGACUCCUACGGGAGGCAGCAGUGGGGAAUAUUGGACAAUGGGGGGAACCCUGAUCCAGCCAUGCCGCGUGUGUGAAGAAGGCCUUAUGGUUGUAAAGCACUUUAAGCGAGGAGGAGGCUACUUUAGUUAAUACCUAGAGAUAGUGGACGUUACUCGCAGAAUAAGCACCGGCUAACUCUGUGCCAGCCGCCGCAGUAA